CCCUGACUUCCCUGCAGGAGAAACCCCCCGGUCCGGAGGUUCGCCCCGACUCUGCCCGGUGGGGAGCCUCUCCUUGCGUGCCUUUUUACUUUGCACAGAGCAAUCAUUGGCGCAAUGGCCUUUUUCCUGCCCACCUUCUUUCUCAGGAAGCUCCUCGGGGCAGCUCCAGGGCCCCUCACCUUGGGGGAGGUAGCCGGCAGGGCCCUGCGUGUCAGAGGCACAGGGAAGGUGGACUGAGUGAGUGGGGGAGUGAGGGAGCCAGAGGAACAGACGGACUUCCCGGGGCUGCAGGCUCCUGGCCUGGCCCAGCUCUCACUAGUGCUGUGUCCCUGCCCUGGGCCUCUGUUACCUUAGCUGGAAAUGAGAAGACUGGCUUAGGUCAUCUCCAAGGCGCCUUCCAGGGCUAGUACCCUGUGAAGAUCAGAUAAGCAUGCAGACGGGUAACAGGAUCCUUCCACUCCAGGACAGGCAGGAGCCUGUAAUUCCACAGGGGGCCGCGGGGUGGCAGGUGGGAAGGAGGCAGGCCCAUGCAGAGCCGCCUUGGCUUUGCAGAGCGAAGGGAGGGCCUGGAUUCUAUCCUCACUCAGGGUCAGUCUUUUCUCUAAACUGGGCAAUGUUAGAAGACUCAGGUGAAAGAGCAGCUCCCGCUUCCCAGGCUGCCUGCGGCCCCCAGAUGCAAAGCCAGCAGCAGGAGGCUUCAGGAGAGAUCGGCUGCCAGCUGUGAGCUUGAAGAGGGGACGGGCGGUGUUUUGACUCAUCCCUCUCCUCUCUCUACCACCCGUUUGGGUUGUGAGCCUCGGUCUGAAUUUCACUAGGAACCAAGAACUACAGGCUUUAGACGAUGGAUAAGAGAACCGCCCAUGGGGAGGACACCUAUCAGCUUCCUCUCAGUCCCAGAGCGUUCUUAGCACUGGCACAAAAGAAAAGCCCUGCCCAGGUUCUGACGUCAUCAGGCUCGGGCAUGAAAGGAAAACAAGAUGACCCUGCUGGUGUGCUCCAGAGGAAGACCAGCCUUCAGCCCCACCCCACCCAGAGGUUAAUCCGCUCAGCCUCUGCUGCGGACCAGCCGUCCCCCUCACUUCACCUCCACCCCGGGCCCAACAGGAGCCCCAGUUCCACCGGUGCACGGAGCAGGCCUCGCCUCUGGCUCUGGACGAACCAUGCUGCUGCUGCUGCUGCUGCUAAGUCGCUUCAUUCAUGUCUGACUCUGUGCAACCCCAUAGACAUAGAUGGAAGCCCACCAGGCUCCCCGUCCCUGGGAUUCUCCAGGCAAGAACACUGGAGUGGGUUGCCAUUUCCUUCUCCAGUGCAUGAAAGAGAAAAGUGAAAGGGAAGUUGCUCAGUCGUGUCCGAGUCUUCGAGACCCCAUGGACUGCAGCCUACCAGGCUCCUCCGUCCAUGGGAUUUUCCAGGCAAGAGUACUGGAGUGGGGUGCCACUGCCUUCUCUGGGACGAGCCAUGAGUGAUGAAUAAAAAGGUUCCCCCAGUCUGGCUGGCCAGGGGAGCAGCCACAUGGGUGCCCUCCCACAGUCCCAGGGCGGGGUGGACACAAGCCCAGGAUUCAGAGAGCAAAGCAGGAAAGGACGUUCCAACAAGGGCAAUGGCCAGGUGUCCUCACCCUGCUGACCCCUGCAGCUUCUAGGACUCACUGAGCUCUGGGCUAGAGGAUGGCGUCUGACCCCCCAGGCAGGGCCGCUGCUGCUGCUGCUAAGUCGCUUCAGUCGUGUCCGACUCUGUGCUACCCCACAGACAGCCUCCCACCAGGCUUCCCCUGUCCCUGGGAUUCUCCAGGCAAGAACACUGGAGUGGGUUGCCAUUUCCUUCAAUGCAUGAAAGUGAAAAGUGAAAGUAGAGUCCCCCAGUCGAGCCCAACUCUUGGCGCCCCCAUGGACUACAGCCUACCAGGCUCCUCUGUCCAUGGGAUUUUCUAGGCAAGAGUACUGGAGUGGGAUGCCAUUGCCUUCUCCACCCCAGGCGGGGACCAGCCAAUAAUUAACAACGGGGGCAGGUGCCUGGCCACUUGGGGGAGACCCUCACAAGGAUCCCAUGAGUUGGCUGUUAUGACUCGAGUUUUCAAACAAGGAAAUGAACAAGGAGGGACAAGGGACCCCGAAGACCCUUGGUCACUGCGGGCAGGGCUGGGCCUCUACGUACACAAUGGGGCCUCUUCCCCCAUCACCAGGGAGGGGGUGCUAAUGCCAGCCAGGGAGCGGGAAUUCGGGGAGUGCAUAGGCUGGGGCAGGGAGCCUGUUCAACACUGCAUCCCUGUCGGCUUCCACGGCUGGACACCUGCCACGGCCCUGAAGGUGGGCAGGGACUUGGCCCGGGUCACCAAAGCCAGGGGGACUUCUAUUCUUCUCUCAUCCCAGACCUCAGAAUUUCCCACCAUCCCAGUUUUUAACCUUUCAGUUAGGUUGCUCUCAAUGGGAUUGUUUUGUGACUCAGCACUUUUCAGAUGAGCAAACUCACACCCACUUCACGGAUGGGGUGGACCCCUUGGGGUGGGG
Molecule: long non-coding RNA, 2507 nt
Organism: Bos taurus (domestic cattle)
Lineage: Eukaryota; Metazoa; Chordata; Mammalia; Artiodactyla; Bovidae
Source: Ensembl